This 500-nucleotide ribosomal RNA is filed under the name uncultured bacterium. Its description in RNAcentral is "partial 16S ribosomal RNA". It matches the Rfam family "Bacterial small subunit ribosomal RNA", at positions 30 to 523 of the family's 1533-position model. The record is from RNAcentral.
AUUGAACGCUGGCGGCAUGCCUUACACAUGCAAGUCGAACGGCAGCACGGGAGCAAUCCUGGUGGCGAGUGGCGAACGGGUGAGUAAAGUAUCGGAACGUGCCCAGUCGUGGGGGAUAACGUAGCGAAAGUUACGCUAAUACCGCAUACGAUCCAUGGAUGGAAGCGGGGGAUCGCAAGACCUCGCGCGAUUGGCGCGGCCGAUAUCAGAUUAGAUAGUUGGUGGGGUAAAGGCUCACCAAGCCGACAAUCUGUAGCUGGUCUGAGAGGACGACCAGCCACACUGGGACUGAGACACGGCCCAGACUCCUACGGGAGGCAGCAGUGGGGAAUUUUGGACAAUGGGCGAAAGCCUGAUCCAGCCAUGCCGCGUGCAGGAUGAAGGCCUUCGGGUUGUAAACUGCUUUUGUACGGAACGAAAAGGUUUGGCCUAAUAAGCUGAGCUCAUGACGGUACCGUAAGAAUAAGCACCGGCUAACUACGUGCCAGCCGCCGCAGUAA